Molecule: long non-coding RNA, 1625 nt
Organism: Oncorhynchus tshawytscha (Chinook salmon)
Lineage: Eukaryota; Metazoa; Chordata; Actinopteri; Salmoniformes; Salmonidae
Source: Ensembl
UUACGACAUGACACGCCUCGAUGUAACUGGAGGGUCCGUUUUUUAAACUUUUCUCCAAUACUAUAGAGCCAUUACCAUGUCAUCAACGCUUGAAUAGAACCUAGUUCACACCCCCGAUUUUGAAGUCAACACAGUUGCUACAGUCCCAUUAAUUUUCUUUGUACGGAAUGGGCACACUGAAGAAACGACAGGCAGAGGGACCAGGCCACAGCAUUGUCACAGAGGUGAUGGAAGAUUUCAUAAAGCAGCUGAGGGACAACUUCUCCACCAGAUUUGAAGACAACAGCAUGCCCAAGGAUAUCAUUGCGUUUGUACGUGAUCCGUGGAGAAUUCAAAUCAAAUCAUAUGUUUUAUUUUUUAUUGAUUACAUUCAUGUGUUUACCAGAUGUUAUUGCGGGUGUAGCGAAAUGGUUGUGAUUCUAGUUUCGACAGUGCAGCAAUAUCAAACAAGUAAUAGUUAACGAUUUCAUAACAAAUACCCAAUACACAUAAAUCUAUGUAAAGGAAUGGAAUUAAGAAUAUAUAAAUAUAUGGAGGAGGAAUGUCAGCGUGGCAUAGACUAAGAUACAGUAGAUAGUAUAGAAUACAGUAUAUACAUAUGAUAUGAGUAAUGCAAUAUAUGUAAAGAUUAUUAUUAUUAGUGUCAUUAUUAAAAGUUAUUCAAUUAAAGUUAUUAAAUGACCCCCCCCCCCUUGCUAAGAAAAUGAUACCCUCGCAGGAUUAGGCCGACAGUCAAACUGAGCUGAUUAAAUUCCAGACACCGAGCCAAAUCAGGGAAGAGCUCAGGAGUGCGGAGUCCUUGUGUGCGUUCUGGGUGACAUGCUCAGAGGAAUACAGCACAUAAAGAAGCGUGCAUUUUACGUGUUAACAAUAUUUUGAUCGAUUUACACAUGCGAGUCCUCAUUUUUCUAUAUGAAGGUAAUAUAAACUCAAGACAGGAAUCCGGCUUUCACAUAGGUCAAUCGAAGAGUGCCUACGCAUCAAAAUCACAUCCAGCUCAUUAAUGUCUCAAUCAAAAUCUCGAUUGCCUCUUGUCCGCUCAUCCUUCUCUUAUGCCAUAGUUUGUAUUGUUUGUAUUGUUUGGUGUUGUGUUGUGUAGUGGUUUUGCUGGCAUACAUCUAAAAUUGUUUUUUUUUCCCCAAGCAAGAUUUACAUGCUAAAAUUGCUACUGAUCUCAUGCGACAUCCACAAGAUCGUGUCCGAGGGGAAAUUCAACUUUUUCCGUUGAGUAAGUAACUUAGUGGCCUAUAUCACUGUAUUUGGUAAAUACGAACAUUACUGAGUGCUUAUCCAGGGAUAUUUAGGUCUCAAACUGACAGUAUUUUCUGUUUGUUAAAGGAGCAGGGCAAGCAGGCUCUCACGACACAGAUAUUCAGACACAGACAGUGACUUUUUUCUUUCAAUUAUUGUUUUAUGUAAGAUGCUACAUUUUUGGCCAGUUGCAAUUGUAAGUGGGCCUAAUAAAAAAAAUCCCAUUUCUAAUAGGACAUAUAUUUUUUUGUGAAAUAUGUUGUUAAGCCUCGUAGCCGAUCUCCGUCAGUUACAUUAUUUUAUAUAGGCCUAGGCUCGGAAGAAAUAAGCCCUCUUGUUGUUUAUAAAGUCUAAUAAAUAAAAAAAAGAUUGUU